UACGUAGGGUGCAAGCGUUCAUCGGAAUUACUGGGCGUAAAGCGUGCGCAGGCGGUUAUGUAAGACAGUUGUGAAAUCCCCGGGCUCAACCUGGGAACUGCAUCUGUGACUGCAUUGCUGGAGUGCGGCAGAGGGGGAUGGAAUUCCGCGUGUAGCAGUGAAAUGCGUAGAUAUGCGGAGGAACACCGAUGGCGAAGGCAAUCCCCUGGGCCUGCACUGACGCUCAUGCACGAAAGCGUGGGGAGCAAACAGG
RNAcentral lists this ribosomal RNA (253 nucleotides) under uncultured bacterium. Its description in RNAcentral is "partial 16S ribosomal RNA". It matches the Rfam family "Bacterial small subunit ribosomal RNA", at positions 524 to 776 of the family's 1533-position model. The record is from RNAcentral.